ACCUCGGUCUUCAUAAAACAGUAGGCAAUAAUUUCCCGGCUGGUGCACUAUUUCUCGCGAGAUUUGGUCGUGCGUAUACUACUGUUGCGUCCGAAUGCGCCUACUUACCUACUAUAUAGUAUGAGAAAACAAGAGUAGUAUGUCCGAAUCCUCAGUAUUCAUAAAAGACUAGGUGAGAAAUUCGCGGAUGGCUUACUGGUUACUCCCACAUUCUGAAGCACCCAGCGACAGAUACUUGGGAUACUUCUCUAUCCCAUGAGCCCACGGGACAGAAUAAGUUCAUACAAGAGCAUAGCGGAGAACUGCGAGGCAGGUGUUUUCAAAAGGACAGAUGAGCACACUCGUUAACAUCACGAAGGUGGCGACGGUGGUCCGCUGCGAGAUGGCAGUAGGAUGUGGGGUUCAACGCCUGUAGAUACAGGAUCAUUUGUUACAACAAUAAAUUGAAAUAAAGCUUUGAUUUAUGUGAUGUU
Long non-coding RNA from Triplophysa rosa, 473 nucleotides. RefSeq lists it as uncharacterized. The record is from RefSeq and is a predicted model, not a curated record. The transcript is spliced from 2 exons. NCBI's taxonomy places the organism in Eukaryota, Metazoa, Chordata, Actinopteri, Cypriniformes, Nemacheilidae.